RNAcentral lists this ribosomal RNA (497 nucleotides) under uncultured bacterium. RNAcentral describes it as "partial 16S ribosomal RNA". It matches the Rfam family "Bacterial small subunit ribosomal RNA", at positions 28 to 507 of the family's 1533-position model. The record is from RNAcentral.
GACGAACGCUGGCGGCGUGCCUAAUACAUGCAAGUUGAGCGCUGAAGGUUGGUACUUGUACCAACUGGAUGAGCAGCGAACGGGUGAGUAACGCGUGGGGAAUCUGCCUUUGAGCGGGGGACAACAUUUGGAAACGAAUGCUAAUACCGCAUAAAAACUUUAAACACAAGUUUUAAGUUUGAAAGAUGCAAUUGCAUCACUCAAAGAUGAUCCCGCGUUGUAUUAGCUAGUUGGUGAGGUAAAGGCUCACCAAGGCGAUGAUACAUAGCCGACCUGAGAGGGUGAUCGGCCCCAUUGGGACUGGGACACGGCCCAAACUCCUUCGGGGAGGCGCAGUAGGGGAUCUUCGGCAAUGGGCGGAAGUCUGAACGAGCAACGCCGCGUGAGUGAAGAAGGUUUUCGGAUCGUAAAACUCUGUUGGUAGGGAAGAACGUUGGUGGGAGUGGAAAGCUCAUCAAGUGACGGUAACUACCCAGAAAGCGACGGCUAACUACGUG